This is a long non-coding RNA of Hippocampus comes (tiger tail seahorse), 594 nucleotides long. RefSeq lists it as uncharacterized. The transcript has 5 exons. NCBI's taxonomy places the organism in Eukaryota, Metazoa, Chordata, Actinopteri, Syngnathiformes, Syngnathidae. The record is from RefSeq and is a predicted model, not a curated record.
GUCGUUCGAAGCUCUAGGCACCAUUGCAAAUGUGAAACGUUUUCAAGUUGUGCUAAAAUGACAGGAGAUGUGUGCAAAAUGAGUCAUAUUUUAUGGUGUUUUUUUUUUCUUUGAAGGUAUGAUAAGCUAUGAAUCAAGUCACAAGUCUUGAAAAUUGGGAUAAAACAGUGAUGGACACAAGUCCCGGGCUCCAAAAGUGUCACGGCGGUCUUCCCAGACGUUGUCUGCCCAACCGUCACGAGAACCCGUGGGGCGGUGAUGUUAUGAAAAGUUGCACAGGGUUUUGCCUUGGAACGCUGACACUUAUUGCCGACUGACGAAGCUUCAUUGAGUCUUCGCUGUGCUCUUGGGGCUGAGCCUAAAGCCAAAGUGGAUCGCUGCCCAAGAAUGAGCAGCAACAUGUCUCCCCACUUCUACUUGUGAAGUUGAUUGCCACGAUGACGUUUGAAAGAGGCGCAUCGCUGCAUCGAGAGUUUUUCCCAAUAAUAUGUGGACACGCAUCGGAAGAUGUUCGCAGUGCAGUAUUGCGGCAGUCCCAGCUGACUCAGCCAUCGGGAGAUGGACUGGUGCUUCAUGGUCCACAAACGUGUGCAC